GCUGCUGCUGCUGCUGCUGGACUGUUGCAACGUCCAGUUGCAGCAACAAACGAGGAGCCGAGGCUGCUGCGGCGGCUGCUGCUGCUGCAUUUGUCACAGCAGCCACUGCCGCCGAAUGUUGCUGAUGUUGCCCAUGUUGCUGAUGAUGAUGAUGAAGCUGCUGCUGCUGCUGCUGCUGCUGUUGCUGUUGUUGCUGAUGAUGAAGAUGUUGCUGUUGCUGUUGCUGCUGCUGCUGCUGC
RNAcentral lists this small RNA (239 nucleotides) under Drosophila guanche. Lineage: Eukaryota; Metazoa; Arthropoda; Insecta; Diptera; Drosophilidae. The record is from RNAcentral.